CACGUAGGGGCCAAGCGUUGUCCGGAUUUAUUGGGCGUAAAGAGCUCGUAGGCGGUUCGACAAGUCGGAUGUGAAAACUCCGGGCUCAACCCGGAGACGCCACCCGAUACUGUCGUGACUGGAGUCCGGUAGGGGAGUGGGGAAUUCCUGGUGUAGCGGUGAAAUGCGCAGAUAUCAGGAGGAACACCGGUGGCGAAGGCGCCACUCUGGGCCGGUACUGACGCUGAGGAGCGAAAGCCAGGGGAGCAAACGGG
RNAcentral lists this ribosomal RNA (254 nucleotides) under uncultured bacterium. RNAcentral describes it as "partial 16S ribosomal RNA". It matches the Rfam family "Bacterial small subunit ribosomal RNA", at positions 524 to 776 of the family's 1533-position model. The record is from RNAcentral.